AUUGAACGCUGGCGGCAGGCCUAACACAUGCAAGUCGAGCGGAUGAAGGGAGCUUGCUCCUGGAUUCAGCGGCGGACGGGUGAGUAAUGCCUAGGAAUCUGCCUGGUAGUGGGGGAUAACGUCCGGAAACGGGCGCUAAUACCGCAUACGUCCUGAGGGAGAAAGUGGGGGAUCUUCGGACCUCACGCUAUCAGAUGAGCCUAGGUCGGAUUAGCUAGUUGGUGGGGUAAAGGCCUACAAAGGCGACGAUCCGUAACUGGUCUGAGAGGAUGAUCAGCCACACUGGAACUUAGACACGGUCCAGACUCCUACGGGAGGCAGCAGUGGGGAAUAUUGGACGAUGGGCGAAAGCCUGAUCCAGCCAUGCCGCGUGUGUGAAGAAGGUCUUCGGAUUGUAAAGCACUUUAAGUUGGGAGGAAGGGCAGUAAGUUAAUACCUUGCUGUUUUGACGUUACCAACAGAAUAAGCACCGGCUAACUUCGUG
Molecule: ribosomal RNA, 484 nt
Filed under: uncultured bacterium
Lineage: Bacteria
Description: partial 16S ribosomal RNA
Rfam family: Bacterial small subunit ribosomal RNA
Source: RNAcentral